GCUUGCUUCGGCAGUACAUAUGCUAAAACUGGAACGAUACAGAGAAGAUUAGCAUGGCCUCUGCGCAAGGAUGACAGUAUCUUAACAAGGGGAUCAUUAGCAAUCG
This is a small nuclear RNA of Stegodyphus dumicola, 106 nucleotides long. The record is from RefSeq and is a predicted model, not a curated record. NCBI's taxonomy places the organism in Eukaryota, Metazoa, Arthropoda, Arachnida, Araneae, Eresidae.